UACGGAGGGGGCUAGCGUUGUUCGGAAUUACUGGGCGUAAAGCGUACGUAGGCGGCUUUGCAAGUUAGAGGUGAAAGCCCGGGGCUCAACUCCGGAAUUGCCUUUAAGACUGCAUCGCUUGAAUCAUGGAGAGGUGAGUGGAAUUCCGAGUGUAGAGGUGAAAUUCGUAGAUAUUCGGAAGAACACCAGUGGCGAAGGCGACUCACUGGACAUGUAUUGACGCUGAGGUACGAAAGCGUGGGGAGCAAACAGG
RNAcentral lists this ribosomal RNA (253 nucleotides) under uncultured bacterium. Its description in RNAcentral is "partial 16S ribosomal RNA". It matches the Rfam family "Bacterial small subunit ribosomal RNA", at positions 524 to 776 of the family's 1533-position model. The record is from RNAcentral.